Molecule: non-coding RNA, 671 nt
Organism: Oryctolagus cuniculus (rabbit)
Lineage: Eukaryota; Metazoa; Chordata; Mammalia; Lagomorpha; Leporidae
Source: RefSeq, a predicted model, not a curated record
GGGAGCCCCGGAUGGGCGCCCCUGCUCCUGCUGGCCGUUGGCCUCUGUGCCUCUGGUGGGAUCGUCUGUUCCCGCUCGCCCUGCUGGAGCACCCACGGCCUUCUGGCCCUUCACACAGCGAGGUGCCAUUGCCAGGAGAGCAGUUUUACUGGUGAGUGUGAUUUGCUGAUCCGCUGCCCCCUCCACCCCUGUGGUCCAGAUCCUCAGUAGCCCUGCAUCCGGGGGACAGGCACAGGCCGGCCUGGCCUUGUGGUGCAGAGCUGCCAGAGGCCACGGUGGGGGGCAUCAGCCACGUGCUUUCCCCCAGGGAUCCUCAGCCUCUGGGUAGAUAGAACUGCACAGUGUGGACAGGGUUCCCUCAGACCCGUGGGGCUGAGGAGAUGCAGUGUAGGCAGGGUUCCCUGUGACCCGGGGGUGCUGAGUGGAGGUGACUGCAGUGUGGACAGGGUUCCCUGUGACCCAGGGGGACUGAGUGGAGGUGACUGCAGUGUGGACAGGGUUCCCUGUGACCCAGGGGGACUGAGUGGAGGUGACUGCAGUGUGGACAGGGUUCCCUGUGACCCAGGGGGACUGAGUGGAGGUGACUGCAGUGUGGACAGGGUUCCCUGUGACCCAGGGGGACUGAGUGGAGGCGACUGCAGUGUGGACAGGGUUUCCUGUGACCCAUGGGG